UGGGGAAUAUUGGACAAUGGGCGGAAGCCUGAUCCAGCCAUGCCGCGUGUGUGAAGAAGGCCUUUUGGUUGUAAAGCACUUUAAGCGAGGAGGAGGCUACUAGUACUAAUACUACUGGAUAGUGGACGUUACUCGCAGAAUAAGCACCGGCUAACUCUGUGCCAGCAGCCGCGGUAAUACAGAGGGUGCGAGCGUUAAUCGGAUUUACUGGGCGUAAAGCGUGCGUAGGUGGUUCGUUAAGUUGAAUGUGAAAGCCCCGGGCUCAACCUGGGAACUGCAUCCAAAACUGGCGAGCUAGAGUAGGGCAGAGGGUGGUGGAAUUUCCUGUGUAGCGGUGAAAUGCGUAGAUAUAGGAAGGAACACCAGUGGCGAAGGCGACCACCUGGGCUCAUACUGACACUGAGGUGCGAAAGCGUGGGGAGCAAACAGG
Molecule: ribosomal RNA, 430 nt
Filed under: Pseudomonadota bacterium
Lineage: Bacteria; Pseudomonadati; Pseudomonadota
Description: Proteobacteria bacterium partial 16S ribosomal RNA
Rfam family: Bacterial small subunit ribosomal RNA
Source: RNAcentral